AAACUUUUGAAUGAAAUCAAACGAAAGACACGAACUAACACGAACCAACGAGAAUAAUCUAUCAAUAAGAACUCAAUAAGAAGAGAAAAGAAACCUGAACGAGAACAUAAACCUGACCGGAGGGAAAACGAUUGACAGGACUAACGUUAAAUCAAAUGGAUUGAAGACAUCCAGAAGACAAAACUUCAAACAGAACUGCAACUUUCUGAACUGCCUGUACUGCAUCGAAUGCUGGCUUCGGUCAGGUUUUUUAUAGUGGAUAAAAGAUCUGAAUUGAUGGCGAGCCUCCCAGAAUC
Alosa alosa (allis shad) is the source of this 296-nucleotide long non-coding RNA. RefSeq lists it as uncharacterized. The transcript is spliced from 4 exons. The record is from RefSeq and is a predicted model, not a curated record. Lineage: Eukaryota; Metazoa; Chordata; Actinopteri; Clupeiformes; Clupeidae.